Non-coding RNA from Pelobates cultripes (western spadefoot toad), 810 nucleotides. The record is from the annotation of a GenBank genome assembly. NCBI's taxonomy places the organism in Eukaryota, Metazoa, Chordata, Amphibia, Anura, Pelobatidae.
AGGUAUUAAACUUUAAAACAAAACUUUGCUUUUAGCAGAAACAAAACGUGUUUUUCAAGUGCUGUGAGAUGUGUGAAAAGGGUAGCAUUAAUUUAUCAUAGAAUAAGUCGUUUUACCGUGAAAUACUUCCAUUCACUUUAAAUUGUUACCUGAGAUAUAUACAAGCAAGCUCUGCUCAGGUUAAAGUAAAAACUGUUUUAUUGUUUUUCUUUCUUUUCAAUUGUUAAGUUGUGCAGCAUUUUGAGUAAGAUAUUACUAAUGCAGUAAUUCUCUAAUCCCUGCAAACCAUGGAACUUGUAUGGUAAGUAGAGUUCCACAGGAACGGUGCAGCCCUGGAGAAGUCUUGAAGGCGAGCAUCAGAGGUGGGAGUACGGACAGAGGAUAGACGUAAGUUUUAGGCAUAGCGUAAGGGCCUAGACGGGACAUACUUGUGUAUUGGGGGGAUAGGUAGGUUGGAGCAGCAUUAUGUAGGGACUUGUAAGCAAGCACUAGAAUCUUAAAUUGAGCCCUAUAUCUAACUGGAAGCCAAUACAGGGACUGACAGAGGGGGAGGCGUGGGAGGACAGGAAGAUGAGCCUCGCCGCCGCAUUCAUUAUAGACUGUAACGGGGCAAGUUGGUAACAUGUAAGACCCCUGAGAAGAGGAUUGCAGUAGUCGAGAGAGAGGGCAAUGGCAUCGACCAGCACCUUAGCUGCGUCCAGGCGUUGAAUUUACAAGUGUAACAUUAUAUUUUGGGAAUCACUGUCAGGACAUUAACCAGCAGGGUAUUGGCAGCUACUGAGUGACAAUCUGUGUGGUGCUAGUGCUGGG